GACGAACGCUGGCGGCGUGCUUAACACAUGCAAGUCGAACGGAAAGGCCCUGCUUUUGUGGGGUGCUCGAGUGGCGAACGGGUGAGUAACACGUGAGUAACCUGCCCUUGACUUUGGGAUAACUUCAGGAAACUGGGGCUAAUACCGGAUAGGAGCUCCUGCUGCAUGGUGGGGGUUGGAAAGUUUCGGCGGUUGGGGCUGGACUCGCGGCUUAUCAGCUUGUUGGUGGGGUAGUGGCUUACCAAGGCUUUGACGGGUAGCCGGGCUGAGAGGGUGACCGGCCACAUCGGGACUGAGAUACGGCACAGACUCCUACGGGAGGCAGCGGUGGGGAAUAUUGCACAAUGGGCGGAAGCCUAAUGCAGCAACGCCGCGUGCGGGAUGACAGCCUUCGGGUUGUAACCCGCUUUCGCCUGUGACGAAGCGUGAGUGACGGUAAUGGGUAAAGAAGCACCGGCUAACUACGUG
This 468-nucleotide ribosomal RNA is filed under the name uncultured bacterium. RNAcentral's name for it is "partial 16S ribosomal RNA". It matches the Rfam family "Bacterial small subunit ribosomal RNA", at positions 28 to 507 of the family's 1533-position model. The record is from RNAcentral.